GCCGAGGUAGCUCAGUCGGUAGAGCAGUGGACUGAAAAUCCAUGUGUGGGCAGUUCGAUUCUGCCCCUCGGCA
Molecule: transfer RNA, 73 nt
Filed under: Candidatus Poribacteria bacterium
Lineage: Bacteria; Candidatus Poribacteria
Description: tRNA-Phe
Rfam family: tRNA
About the family: Transfer RNA (tRNA) molecules are approximately 80 nucleotides in length. Their secondary structure includes four short double-helical elements and three loops (D, anti-codon, and T loops).
Source: RNAcentral